Molecule: ribosomal RNA, 301 nt
Filed under: uncultured bacterium
Lineage: Bacteria
Description: partial 16S ribosomal RNA
Rfam family: Bacterial small subunit ribosomal RNA
Source: RNAcentral
CAGCCGCCACGGUAAUACAGAGGGUGCGAGCGUUAAUCGGAUUUACUGGGCGUAAAGCGUGCGUAGGCGGCUUCUUAAGUCGGAUGUGAAAUCCCUGAGCUUAACUUAGGAAUUGCAUUCGAUACUGGGAAGCUAGAGUAUGGGAGAGGAUGGUAGAAUUCCAGGUGUAGCGGUGAAAUGCGUAGAGAUCUGGAGGAAUACCGAUGGCGAAGGCAGCCAUCUGGCCUAAUACUGACGCUGAGGUACGAAAGCAUGGGGAGCAAACAGGAUUAGAUACCCCAGUAGUCCUGUCUCUUAUACA